This 485-nucleotide ribosomal RNA is filed under the name uncultured bacterium. Its description in RNAcentral is "bacterial SSU rRNA". It matches the Rfam family "Bacterial small subunit ribosomal RNA", at positions 29 to 531 of the family's 1533-position model. The record is from RNAcentral.
AUUGAACGCUGGCGGCAUGCCUAACACAUGCAAGUCGAACGGCAGCACGGGAGCUUGCUCCUGGUGGCGAGUGGCGGACGGGUGAGUAAUGCAUAGGAAUCUGCCCAGUAGCGGGGGACAACUUGGGGAAACUCAAGCUAAUACCGCAUGCGCCCUACGGGGGAAAGCGGGGGACCUUCGGGCCUCGCACUAUUGGAUGAGCCUAUGUCAGAUUAGCUUGUUGGUGGGGUAACGGCCUACCAAGGCGACGAUCUGUAGCUGGUCUGAGAGGACGAUCAGCCACACUGGGACUGAGACACGGCCCAGACUCCUACGGGAGGCAGCAGUGGGGAAUAUUGGACAAUGGGGGAAACCCUGAUCCAGCAAUGCCGCGUGCGUGAAGAAGGCCUUAGGGUUGUAAAGCGCUUUCACCUGUGAUGAUGAUGACAGUAGCAGGAGAAGAAGCCCCGGCUAACUCCGUGCCAGCAGCCGCGGUAAAGUAGACG